AGGACGACGCUGGCGGCGUGCCUAAUACAUGCAAGUCGAACGGUCUUUCUAUGGAAGCUUGCUUCCACUGAGAAGAUAGUGGCGAACGGGUGAGUAACACGUGGGUAACCUGCCCAUAAGAGGGGGGAUAACAUCCGGAAACGGGCGCUAAUACCGCAUAGUUUUCUUGGUCGCAUGAUCGGGAAAGGAAAGACGGCCUUUGUGCUGUCGCUUAUGGAUGGACCCGCGGCGUAUUAGUUAGUUGGUGAGGUAACGGCUCACCAAGACGAUGAUACGUAGCCGACCUGAGAGGGUGAUCGGCCACAUUGGGACUGAGACACGGCCCAAACUCCUACGGGAGGCAGCAGUAGGGAAUCUUCCGCAAUGGACGAAAGUCUGACGGAGCAACGCCGCGUGAGUGAAAGAAGGUUUUCGGAUCGUAAAACUCUGUUGUCAGAGAAGAACAAGUUGGAGAGUAACUGCUCCAGCCUUGACGGUAUCUGACCAGAAAGCCACGGCUAACUACGUGCCAGCCGCGGC
Molecule: ribosomal RNA, 519 nt
Filed under: uncultured bacterium
Lineage: Bacteria
Description: bacterial SSU rRNA
Rfam family: Bacterial small subunit ribosomal RNA
Source: RNAcentral